This 254-nucleotide ribosomal RNA is filed under the name uncultured bacterium. Its description in RNAcentral is "partial 16S ribosomal RNA". It matches the Rfam family "Bacterial small subunit ribosomal RNA", at positions 524 to 776 of the family's 1533-position model. The record is from RNAcentral.
UACGGAGGAGGCAAGCGUUAUCCGGAAUUAUUGGGCGUAAAGCGUCCGUAGAUGGUCGUUUCAGGUCUGCUGUCAAAGACCGGGGCUUAACCCCAGAAAGGCGGUGGAAACUGAACAGCUAGAGAGAGGUAGGGGUAGAGGGAAUUCCCAGUGUAGCGGUGAAAUGCGUAGAUAUUGGGAAGAACAUCAGUGGCGAAAGCGCUCUACUGGACCUUAUCUGACAUUGAGGGACGAAAGCUAGGGGAGCGAAUGGG